GCUGGGCGUGGUGGCGUGUGCCUGUAAUCCCAGCUACUCAGGAGGCUGAGGCACGAGAAUCACUUGAACUCAGGAGGCGGAAGUUGCAGUGAGCCAAAAUUGUGCCACUGCACUCCAGCCUGGGUGACAGAGUGAGACUCUGUCUCAA
Molecule: non-coding RNA, 148 nt
Filed under: Pan troglodytes (chimpanzee)
Lineage: Eukaryota; Metazoa; Chordata; Mammalia; Primates; Hominidae
Source: Rfam by way of RNAcentral